RNAcentral lists this ribosomal RNA (253 nucleotides) under uncultured bacterium. Its description in RNAcentral is "partial 16S ribosomal RNA". It matches the Rfam family "Bacterial small subunit ribosomal RNA", at positions 524 to 776 of the family's 1533-position model. The record is from RNAcentral.
UACGAAGGGGGCUAGCGUUGCUCGGAAUCACUGGGCGUAAAGGGCGCGUAGGCGGCCAUUCAAGUCGGAGGUGAAAGCCCAGGGCUCAACCCUGGAAUUGCCUUCGAUACUGUCUGGCUAGAGACCGGAAGAGGUAAGUGGAACUGCGAGUGUAGAGGUGAAAUUCGUAGAUAUUGGGAAGAACACCUGAGGCGAAGGCGGGUUGCUGGGCUGACACUGACGCUGAGGCGCGAAAGCCAGGGGAGCGAACGGG